AGAGGGUUUCACCUUUUUUUUGCUUUGACGGUGAAUGAGACACCUUCUGUAUUUUUGUUUUUUGAACUUUGGGUGAAUCGUCCACAGAAUCAUCAUCAUCUGCCAUCAAGCUUUUCCCCUUUCGCUUGCGUUGUUUGUCGGCUUCAAUUUCAACACUGGUUGCAUCAACCUCCUGCAAGUGCUUUGUUCGAGUUUCAACUCGUAUUUGUCUCGGCGAUGCNN
Molecule: long non-coding RNA, 222 nt
Filed under: Nicotiana benthamiana
Lineage: Eukaryota; Viridiplantae; Streptophyta; Magnoliopsida; Solanales; Solanaceae
Description: long non-coding RNA (NBEN_LNC024188)
Source: RNAcentral